This 321-nucleotide long non-coding RNA is filed under the name Homo sapiens (human). Its description in RNAcentral is "HSALNT0311598". The record is from RNAcentral. Lineage: Eukaryota; Metazoa; Chordata; Mammalia; Primates; Hominidae.
CCCGGACCGACUGUCCCACCCGCGACCCAUGCUGGCCCCAGGUUAACGCCUGCAACCCCGGAGGGCCACAAAUCAAAGGUGGAUAAACAUGAUGAGAUGGGAGCAAGCUUAAGGGUACCAGAUGGAUAAUCACAUAUUCAUACCAUGGGACAUGCCCCUCGGAUGCAUCCUCAAGAAGGGAGAAAAGUUUGAACCCCAAACCCUAAAAAGGAAAAGGCUAAUAUUUUUCUGUAACACAGCUUGGGUUGAAUAAAAUCUCCAGGACCAGUAAUGUUGGCCAGAAAACAGAAGCAUAAAUUUUAAUACAAUCCAUCAACUAGA